CGCGUAGACGGCUGUCUAAGUCUGGAGUGAAAGUCCUGCUUUCAAGGUGGGAAUUGCUUUGGAGACUGGAUGGCUUGAGUGCGGAAGAGGUAAGUGGAAUUCCCAGUGUAGCGGUGAAAUGCGUAGAGAUUGGGAAGAACACCAGUGGCGAAGGCGACUUACUGGGCCGUAACUGACGUUGAUGCGCGAAAGCGUGGGGAGCGAACAG
RNAcentral lists this ribosomal RNA (208 nucleotides) under uncultured bacterium. RNAcentral describes it as "partial 16S ribosomal RNA". It matches the Rfam family "Bacterial small subunit ribosomal RNA", at positions 568 to 775 of the family's 1533-position model. The record is from RNAcentral.